CCCUACCGGGGUACUGAACUUAAUUAAACUCCGAAUACCGCAGAGUGAAGUCCGGGAGUCAGACUGUGGGGGAUAACCUUCAUAGUCGAGAGGAGAAUAAUCCAAACCAUCAGUUAAGGUCCCAAAAUACGGCUCAGUGAAAAAGGAUGUGAUUUUGCUUAGACAAUGGGGAUGUUGGCUUAGAGGCAGCCAUCAUUUAAACAGUGCGUAACAGCUGACCCAUCGAGCGAAAUUGCGCCGAAAAUGAUCGGGACUUAAGCCGUAUACCGAAGCUAUGGGUUUACCGCAAGGUAAGCAGUAGGAAAGCGUCCCAAGUGCGGCGAAGUGGAAGGGGUAACCGACCAUGGAGCGCUUGGGAGUGAGAAUGCAGACAUAAGUAACGAUAAAGCCGGUUGAAUUCCGGCUCGCCUAAAUCCCAAGGAUUCCUGGGGAAGGUUCGUCCUCCCAGGGUUAGUCGGGUGCUAAGACGAGGCCGUAAGGAGUAGUCGAUGCCAAGCAGGUUUAAUAUUCCUGCACCACUAUUCAUGUGUUCGACCUAUGGAGUGACGGAGACAGUUAACUCAGCAACGUGUUGAAUCGUUGUCCAAGCCUGUAGACUGCUCGGGGAUAAAAUACCGGGUAAGGUUUAAGGGCAAUGGGACCUUGAGGCCACGGCCGAUGGGGAUUGAGUGAUACUAUGCUUCCAAGAAAAGCUUCGUAGUUAGCAUGUGUAGUGCCCGUACCGUAAACCGACACAGGUGGGAAAGAUGAGUAUUCUAAGGCGCGCGAGUUAAAUCUCUCUAAGGAACUCGGCAAAUUAACCCCGUAUCUUCGGUAAAAGGGGUGCCCCGCAAGGGGCCGCAGUUAAUUGCGUCAACCGACUGUUUAGCAAAAACACAGCACUCUGCUAAGUCGCAAGACGACGUAUAGGGUGUGACACGUGACCAAUGCGGAAAGGUGAAAGUCUAGGGUGCAAGCUCUGGAUCUAAGCCCCCGUGAAUGUCGGCCGUAACUAUAACGGUCCUAAGGUAGCGAAACUCCUUGUCGGGUAAGUUCCGACCCGCACGAAUCGUGUAACGAGUUGACGACUGUCUCGGAGAGAGGCUCGGUGAAAUUGUAGUGGCGGUGAAGAUGCCGCCUACCCGCAGCAGGACGGAAAGACCCUAUGCACCUUUACUGUAAGCUGUUAUUGUCGCUUGACUUUCAAUACGUAGAAUAGGUGGGAGACUUCGAAGCCCGGUUUCAGGAUCGGGCUGAGUCACAAUGUGAAAUACCACUUUUUGUUAGUUAGGCGUCUAACCUCAUACCAUUAUCUGGUUGUGGGACAGUGAUAGCAGGUCAGUUUUUCUGGGGCGGAAUCCUCCCAAAGAGUAACGGAGGAUUACGAAGGUUCCCCC
RNAcentral lists this ribosomal RNA (1376 nucleotides) under metagenome. RNAcentral's name for it is "bacterial LSU rRNA". It matches the Rfam family "Bacterial large subunit ribosomal RNA", at positions 926 to 2323 of the family's 2925-position model. The record is from RNAcentral.